Molecule: non-coding RNA, 101 nt
Filed under: Clunio marinus
Lineage: Eukaryota; Metazoa; Arthropoda; Insecta; Diptera; Chironomidae
Description: Eukaryotic large subunit ribosomal RNA
Rfam family: Eukaryotic large subunit ribosomal RNA
Source: Rfam by way of RNAcentral
UGGGUUUAGACCGUCGUGAGACAGGUUAGUUUUACCCUACUGGUGGCAUUCACACUGUUGGUAUGGCAUUCCUGUGAAGUACGAGAGGAACCACAGGUACG